GCCCAGGUAGCUCAGUUGGUAGAGCAACGGAUUGAAAAUCCGUGUGUCGGUGGUUCGAUUCCGCCCCUGGGCACCA
This 76-nucleotide transfer RNA is filed under the name Alphaproteobacteria bacterium. RNAcentral describes it as "tRNA-Phe". It matches the Rfam family "tRNA". Rfam says of the family: Transfer RNA (tRNA) molecules are approximately 80 nucleotides in length. Their secondary structure includes four short double-helical elements and three loops (D, anti-codon, and T loops). The record is from RNAcentral. Lineage: Bacteria; Pseudomonadati; Pseudomonadota; Alphaproteobacteria. RNAcentral also lists the same sequence under 1 other name.